RNAcentral lists this ribosomal RNA (253 nucleotides) under uncultured bacterium. Its description in RNAcentral is "partial 16S ribosomal RNA". It matches the Rfam family "Bacterial small subunit ribosomal RNA", at positions 524 to 776 of the family's 1533-position model. The record is from RNAcentral.
UACGAAGGGGGCUAGCGUUGCUCGGAAUCACUGGGCGUAAAGGGCGCGUAGGCGGACUUUUAAGUCAGGGGUGAAAUCCUGAGGCUCAACCUCAGAACUGCCUUUGAUACUGAGGGUCUCGAGACCGGUAGAGGUAAGUGGAACUGCGAGUGUAGAGGUGAAAUUCGUAGAUAUUCGCAAGAACACCAGUGGCGAAGGCGGCUUACUGGUCCGGUUCUGACGCUGAGGCGCGAAAGCGUGGGGAGCAAACAGG